This 428-nucleotide ribosomal RNA is filed under the name uncultured bacterium. RNAcentral's name for it is "partial 16S ribosomal RNA". It matches the Rfam family "Bacterial small subunit ribosomal RNA", at positions 354 to 796 of the family's 1533-position model. The record is from RNAcentral.
GUGGGGAAUAUUGGGCAAUGGGGGAAACCCUGACCCAGCAACGCCGCGUGAGGGAAGAAGGUUUUCGGAUUGUAAACCUCUGUCCUUGGUGACGAAGGAAGUGACGGUAACCAAGGAGGAAGCCCCGGCUAACUACGUGCCAGCAGCCGCGGUAAUACGUAGGGGGCAAGCGUUGUCCGGAAUGACUGGGCGUAAAGGGCGUGUAGGCGGCCGAUUAAGUCUGGAGUGAAAGUCCUGCUUUCAAGGUGGGAAUUGCUUUGGAGACUGGUUGGCUUGAGUGCGGAAGAGGUAAGUGGAAUUCCCAGUGUAGCGGUGAAAUGCGUAGAUAUGGGGAGGAACACCAGUGGCGAAGGCGGCUUUCUGGACGGUGUCUGACACUGAGGCGCGAAAGCCAGGGGAGCGAACGGGAUUAGAAACCCCUGUAGUCC